RNAcentral lists this long non-coding RNA (266 nucleotides) under Setaria viridis. RNAcentral describes it as "long non-coding RNA (SVIR_LNC001058)". The record is from RNAcentral. Lineage: Eukaryota; Viridiplantae; Streptophyta; Magnoliopsida; Poales; Poaceae.
AAACAUCAAGGCCAACCUUAAUAAUAUUAAGAUUAAUAAUAUGACAAGCACAAUACUAAUGCAAAAAUAGUUUUCCAACUAACCAGACAGUAAAGAACUAAGCUCAGCAAUGGCGGCAGGAUUUGCUGAUGCAUUAUCCAAUGUAACAGAAACGAUCUUAUUAGUUAAACUAUAAUCAGAAACAACAGAAGUAAUACGCUCAGCAAUAUUAUCAUCAUUAUGAGAUAUAUCAAUUAAACAAGACCUAAUAUCCUCUUCUCUAGUUG